UGGGGAAUAUUGCACAAUGGGCGCAAGCCUGAUGCAGCAACGCCGCGUGAGGGACGACGGCCUUCGGGUUGUAAACCUCUUUUAGUAGGGAAGAAGCGAAAGUGACGGUACCUGCAGAAAAAGCACCGGCUAACUACGUGCCAGCAGCCGCGGUAAUACGUAGGGUGCGAGCGUUGUCCGGAAUUAUUGGGCGUAAAGAGCUCGUAGGCGGUCUGUCGCGUCUGCUGUGAAAACCCGAGGCUCAACCUCGGGCCUGCAGUGGGUACGGGCAGACUAGAGUGCGGUAGGGGAGAAUGGAAUUCCUGGUGUAGCGGUGGAAUGCGCAGAUAUCAGGAGGAACACCGAUGGCGAAGGCAGUUCUCUGGGCCGUAACUGACGCUGAGGAGCGAAAGCGUGGGGAGCGAACAGGAUUAGAUACCCUGGGUAGUCCACGCCGUAAACGUUGGGCGCUAGAUGUGGGGACCAUUCCACGGUUUCCGUGUC
Molecule: ribosomal RNA, 483 nt
Filed under: uncultured bacterium
Lineage: Bacteria
Description: partial 16S ribosomal RNA
Rfam family: Bacterial small subunit ribosomal RNA
Source: RNAcentral